RNAcentral lists this ribosomal RNA (449 nucleotides) under uncultured bacterium. Its description in RNAcentral is "partial 16S ribosomal RNA". It matches the Rfam family "Bacterial small subunit ribosomal RNA", at positions 29 to 523 of the family's 1533-position model. The record is from RNAcentral.
AACGAACGCUGGCGGCAGGCCUAACACAUGCAAGUCGAACGCCCUGGCAACAGGGAGUGGCAGACGGGUGAGUAACGCGUGGGAACGUGCCCUUCGGUUCGGAAUAACUCAGGGAAACUUGAGCUAAUACCGAAUACGUGCGAGAGCAGAAAGAUUUAUCGCCGAAGGAUCGGCCCGCGUCCGAUUAGCUAGUUGGUGAGGUAAUGGCUCACUAAGGCGACGAUCGGUAGCUGGUCUGAGAGGAUGAUCAGCCACACUGGGACUGAGACACGGCCCAGACUCCUACGGGAGGCAGCAGUGGGGAAUAUUGGACAAUGGGCGCAAGCCUGAUCCAGCCAUGCUGCGUGAGUGAUGAAGGCCCUAGGGUUGUAAAGCUCUUUCGCCAGGGACGAUAAUGACGGUACCUGGAUAAGAAGCCCCGGCUAACUUCGUGCCAGCCGCCGCCGUAA